Molecule: ribosomal RNA, 497 nt
Filed under: uncultured bacterium
Lineage: Bacteria
Description: partial 16S ribosomal RNA
Rfam family: Bacterial small subunit ribosomal RNA
Source: RNAcentral
GAUGAACGCUGGCGGCGUGCCUAAUACAUGCAAGUCGAGCGAACGGACGAGAAGCUUGCUUCUCUGAUGUUAGCGGCGGACGGGUGAGUAACACGUGGAUAACCUACCUAUAAGACUGGGAUAACUUCGGGAAACCGUAGCUAAUACCGGAUAAUAUUUUGAACCGCAUGGUUCAAAAGUGAAAGACGGUCUUGCUGUCACUUAUAGAUGGAUCCGCGCUGCAUUAGCUAGUUGGUAAGGUAACGGCUUACCAAGGCAACGAUGCAUAGCCGACCUGAGAGGGUGAUCGGCCACACUGGAACUGAGACACGGUCCAGACUCCUACGGGAGGCAGCAGUAGGGAAUCUUCCGCAAUGGGCGAAAGCCUGACGGAGCAACGCCGCGUGAGUGAUGAAGGUCUUCGGAUCGUAAAACUCUGUUAGUAGGGAAGAACAGAUGUGUAAGUAACUGUGCACAUCUUGACGGUACCUAAUCAGAAAGCCACGGCUAACUACGUG